RNAcentral lists this ribosomal RNA (253 nucleotides) under uncultured bacterium. RNAcentral's name for it is "partial 16S ribosomal RNA". It matches the Rfam family "Bacterial small subunit ribosomal RNA", at positions 524 to 776 of the family's 1533-position model. The record is from RNAcentral.
UACGUAGGGUGCGAGCGUUAAUCGGAAUUACUGGGCGUAAAGCGUGCGCAGGCGGUUUUGUAAGCCAGAUGUGAAAUCCCCGGGCUUAACCUGGGAAUGGCAUUUGGGACUGCAAGGCUUGAGUGUGGCAGGGGGGACUGGAAUUCCUGGUGUAGCAGUGAAAUGCGUAGAGAUCAGGAGGAAUACCGAUGGCGAAGGCAGGUCCCUGGGCUGACACUGACGCUCAUGCACGAAAGCGUGGGGAGCAAACAGG